CCCUUAGAUGUUCUGGGCCGCACGCGCGCUACACUGAUGCAUUCAACGAGCCUAUCCUUGACCGACAGGUCCGGGUAAUCUUUGAAUCUGCAUCGUGACGGGGAUAGAUUAUUGCAAUUAUUAAUCUUCAACGAGGAAUGCCUAGUAGGCGCAAGUCAUCAGCUUGCGUCGAUUACGUCCCUGCCCUUUGUACACACCGCCCGUCGCUCCUACCGAUUGGGUGUGCUGGUGAAAUGUUCGGAUCGGCCGUUUGUCGCGGUUUCCGCGUCAUGUGGCUGAGAAGUACAUUAACCCCUCCCACCUAGAGGAAGGAGAAGUCGUAACA
Molecule: ribosomal RNA, 325 nt
Filed under: uncultured eukaryote
Lineage: Eukaryota
Description: partial 18S ribosomal RNA
Rfam family: Eukaryotic small subunit ribosomal RNA
Source: RNAcentral